CAUCCAUGUUUUUUGUCCACCAAUAAUUAUAAUAACAAUAAUAAAUAAAUAAUUAAAUUAAAUUAUCGCCAUUAUUAUUUAAAAUUAGGAUGAGAAAAGGCGUGACUGCUGGGGGGGUACGGGAAAGUGAAAAGGAAAAGGAAAAGACGAAUAAGCUUAGUCGUAUUCGUUGGAGGAAUGUUGGGUUGUAGGGGCAAAAGAGUCAUUUCACUUGAAAAAUGAGAGUGGCAGUAUCAAUAUUAAAGAUUUGAUUGAUAUUUUCCACUCCUCUCUCUCGGAUAUUAUUAUUACAAAGCAUACAAUUCUAAACCUAACGGACGACAGCUCAGAACCACAUAAAAAAGACCCCAUUUCACGGAAUACCUAAAAUGCCCUCCAUAACUUUCCCAAUUCAUGCGCUGCAUUCGGGGACAUUAAUGUCUUUUCAACUGAUCCCCACCCACCCUCCACCCACUCAACUCGGACGAGUCAACUCAGUAGCGCAAUCUGUGUCCACUCAUUUUCACGCCUAAAAUAAACCCGUCCGCCGGGGAAAAGCCAAAAAUAAAAAAGACUUACAGGCAAAACACGGCAAGAAGAAGAAUCAUCAGGGUGCAUAGCGGCGGCGUUCAAGUCGGACGAGUCCGGCGCCGUGGUAGAAGAAGAUUUGGGCUUUACGGAAAAGGGUGGAACGGCGUCGUCUUCUUCAUCUUCCUCACCUAUAUCCGAAGAGAAAUCGAGAAGGUCAUCCAUGAAAGCCAAAGAAGACUCCAUUUUUGUGUGUGUGUGUGUUUUUUUGUUUUGCUUCUUUUUUUUUUUUUGGAAGAGAGAGAAAAGCCCGUUUUUUCUAGAGAGAGAAAGAGGGUUUUGUUGUUGUGACUGUGAGUUUAUUAUUAUCGUCAACACGAUGGCUUCGUGAGGGUCUUUGGUGUGUAGUGGGGUGGGGAACGAACGAAGGGAUGUAAAUUUUUUUCCAAUAACAAUAAAUAUCUUUUAUUUUUUUAAAAUAACGUACAGAAAGAGAAACAAUCGGGUGUGUAUGUGCGUAGAGUGAAGGAAACACAAGGAUAUGAGUUUGACUGAGAAGUGAAGGGUAGAAGUGGGAUCCAGUGUGAGUUGGCAAAUAGUUAGAGGAAGUACACCGUACUUAGCGUGGAUCUGAAUGUGGGGAUAGAAAAGAAAGGGUACAACGGUAAUUAGGGGAGAUAGGGAGGGGUAAAUUAGGGAGAAGGGGGGAAAAGAGGGGUAUAUAUGUAGAAUGUAUGAGAUGGAUGGUGUGUCGAGGUCUGGGGACUGGGACGACGUUCACGAUGUCGUCGUUUUACUACAUCCAAUAAGAUUCGUCCACGUAGAAUAACCAAUGGGAGAGAGACACGUGUGGGUUUUCAUUUUAUUAUUUGGAGAAAAAGAUGUCGGGGGGGCCCAUUGAGACAAACCCGCAUGUGGCGGCGAUGAUAGUGUUUUGACUCCACGCGCUGAGUGAUCAAUUUUCAGUAGUAGGAGCGUGGGGUCCACGCGAGGGUAAAUGUGUAAAUUAAUGAUAUAGGGAUAGUACUUAGUAGAUAGUAGUAGUGUUUGCAUGUGAUGAAGGCGGGGGGGAGUGGGAGCCCUCAAAACCCCACUACAAAAAUUUUUAAAAAGGAAUUACUUUUUUUUUAGAUACAUGGAUGGCGGAAUGCAUACUCAUACAUGUCAAAUCAUAUAUUUAAAUUCCUCUACUCUUUAUUAUUAUUAUCCUACAAAUACAACUCUAUAUUCACUCAAACUCCCCAUAUUAUUCUAAUACACUUCUCCAAAUCGUUCUCCCUAUUACUCUUUUCCUAACUGUCUCCAAAUUUUUAGUUAGGUUUAUGCCCAUCUACCAUGCAAAGAGGUGGAAAAUUUAUGAUUGAUUCUUUUUUAUCUAUAUCAUAUAAGUCCUUUUCAAAAGGUAUUGUAGUAUAAUUUGGACACCACAUAUUUGAAUAUGAAAUUUUUGUCCUUCCACAAACCUAGAUGUCAUUUAAAUGAACUAGUUUCUAAAUUAUUUUUGUUAUUACGUUAUAGUUCUUAAUAUUGCAAUGUAUAUUAAAUAGUUAGGAGGACAUUUGUUGACUUAACUUAAGCAUCAUUGUUUUUACUAAAGUAGGGCAUUAGGUAGAAAUGUAGAGUAAAGACCAAAAUUAUUGGGUUUAGGGAUUAAAUUAUAGAAACUAAAAUAAAUAUUUUUGAACUUUUUUUUAAGUAUCUAAUAUCACUAAAAUUGAAAAGUCAGACAAAUUAAAUUAAUGUAUAUGCAAUGGAAAAAGGUAGAUAUUUUUAUUAAUAUUUUGUUUUUAAGAAAUAGGUCCACAAAUUUAGGAUUUGAAACCAGAUUCCUUACCUACUUUAGGUGAAUCUCAUUCUCUCAUUCUUGAUUUGGGUUGGGCCUACAAACAACAAAUUAAUAAAUAUAUAUAUAUACAUAUCAAAGUAUCAAAAAUCAAUUAUAACUGUCAUUUAAAAGCGUAGACGUUCGAUCGUAGUUCAAAUCACUCGCCCUUAAUUUAUAUUGUAAAUUAAUAAAUCUAUGUGUAUGAAUUGAAUUUUCCUUAUCUUAAUCAUCUUAUAUCGUUAAAGAAUUAAUAUAAGAAUACAAAUUUUAGAUGAGAGUUAGAGAAGAUAAGAUAAGAUUUAUUUACUCGUACAUAAGUGAAGUAAGGAAGGGUUUCAACAAGUUUAAUUGAGAGAGAAAUGUUUGUUUUUUUUUUUUUUAAUUGAAAUGUCAAUAAAAAAGAGCAUACACAAUUUUCAUCUAAUUGUCAAUCUUUUUAGAUCAAACAUGAAUGAAGCAAGGAAAGGAAUGGUUGCAAUGUGGCUAUGUACUCCUUUAUAAUUUUUUUGUAUGUAUGGGUUUAGGUUAACUAAAUCACCAAACGAAACUGAUCAGUUUUAUAAUUAAGAAACCAAACUGAAGUUCAAUGAACAACAAAAACCAAUGAUUUGUUUUUAUUUGGUUAGAUUUAACAUUAUCGAUUUAGUUAUGGAUUUCUUUUCCCUUUUUAUCGAUUUUUUUAUUGACUUUUUUACUCUCCUCAAAUUUAAAUUAGGCAUGUUUCUUUUUUAUGUAUUGAAAUUGGACUUUUUAAUUUUUAAUUUUUUACUUUUUUUUCUAAAUAACAAACAUAUAUGGAUCAUAAUAAUUAAAAUACUAAAAAAGAUUCAGAUUUAAAGUUUAAUUUUAAAAGUAAAUGGAUUCAAACCAAUAAUAUUCUUUCUCCAAAUAAAAAUCAACAUUUCCAAUUUCAUACUAAAACAUUGAACAUAUUAAACAAAUGAUGGACUGAUUAGGUUUGAUUUAUUAUUAAUUUUUGGUAUGUAUGUGUAUUUAGCACUUUUAGAUUUGUAUUCACUCUGUAUGUAGGACCUGGUUGUUAUAGUGAAUUAAAUAUAUUGGUUUUUAUAGUUGCUCAAAAAAUAAUCUUAGCUUAAUCAAUCUAAAUUAUCUAAGUGAAAUUAUAGGGAUUGAAUUAGAUUGAAAUUUAAAAUCUUAAAGUAUAUAUUUCAGGUCGGAUAUUGAGUCAUAGGAUUUAAUAACCAGUCAACCUGAUUCAAUUCAGUUAUUUAUUAUUAUUAUAUAACUAAAGUAGGAAAUCAAGUUUUAGUAGAAAAGGAAGGCAUACUAGACUGAUAAGGUUCAUUUUUUUCUAACAAGAAGAUAUCGGGUUGAUCCAUUAUAUAUUUACCUUCAAGGUUUCCUCUUGAAGUGUUAAAAAAGAAAAACUAGAGACAAAGCAAAUAUAAAAUAAUAGAAAAUAUUUAUAUUUGUGUGUGAGUGAAUAUAGUUUCUCCACCAAAUUCUUUAAAAUUAAUAGGUUUGAAAGGGAAUAACAUCUAUUUGAGUACCUCAAUCAAAUGUUAUAGGCUAGAAGAGGAAAUAAAAACAUUUUUGAAGUAAUCAAUUUCUUAAUGUAACUAAAAGAUGAAGGGUCACACAUCAUUCGAGGUUUAGGUAUGUUGUAUGUCUUAAUCACGUGUGAUUUCAUUGUUUGCUUAAAAUCAAAUUUGUCAUGUAUAUAUUUUUAAUAUAUAGAUUAUAGUUUAAGUUUAUAUUAGUAAUUGUCAGAGAAGUUAAGAGUCCCACGUUGGAAAAAUAAAAAAGACUCAUACUUGGUAUAUGAUAGAUGAGCUACUAUUUUUUUUUAUUGUCAAUUGGUUUUGAGAUGGAAUCUCAUACUAUUAAAUUUAAUAUGGUAUUAAAACGGAAUGAAACAUGGGAGAAAAAAAUAUAUUUUUGAUUUUAUUACGUAAAGAUUUUGAUAUUUUUUUAUUUAUGAAAAUUAACCUACAUUAUAUCUCAAUAAAUAAUUAGCUUAAUUUGUUUUCUUGUCAUGAUGGUAUUUAUGAAAGAAAUACAACUAUAAUGUAGAAAGUUAAAUGUUUUUCCGCUACAAUACACAAAGUUAAAUUGUUUUAUAUAGAGUAAAAUGAUCAUUUCUAUUAUUGUUUCCAUUAUUAUGGUUUUAUUUGUAUGGAAGAUAAUACACCCUAUACCUUACCUUGAUGUUGAUCCUAUCCCUACCCUACAUUGUGUACUUUCUCUAUCUAUAACCAUUAGAAUUUUCUUUAAUAUUUUCUUUUUAAAAAAUGAGUUUUAGUAAAGAUGGACCAUUGCCACACUUUUGAUAAAUAUUUUAAGGAAAAAAAACUAAUAAAACUGUGAAGCAUCGCUAACGGAUUCAGAAAUUUUACAUAGAAGUACCAGACACUAUAUAAUAAACACACUAAAAUAAUAUUUAAAAAAUAUCUUAACAUUUCGUUGAUGCUCCAAUAACAUUCACUACAUUUUGUAGCAAUAAAGAAAAGACUAGUCAUCUUCUUAUAAUUUUUUGUAAUGUAAAUUUGAAUUUAAAGAUUGCAUCAAAAGAAGAAAAGAAAAAAACAAAAUAAUACAUUUAUUAUGGAUUAUUGGUGAGGAAGUGAAAAUUUAGAUAACUGAUUUUGUUGCAUUUUUUCUAAAUAUUUGUUAGAUAACAAACAAUGGCUAGAAAAAUAUAAGUUAAGGUUUUAUCAUAGUUAGGUUUUGUUCUUCUUUUAAGAAAAUUAUUUUUAUGACAUUAUUGAAAUUUGUCAAUAAAAUUGACGUUUGGAGUCUUUGAAAAAAUAAAAUUAUUGAAAUGUUGCAAAAUUAUCUCGUAGUGUUUGAAUCUAAAAUAAAAGAAAAUAAAUAUAUACAUAAAUAAUGUAAAUAUGUGAAUUUAAAAAUUGCAUUAAAAAAAGAAAUAAAAGAAGAAAAAUACAAUUUUCAUUGAAUAUUGUUGAGAUAAUAAAAGUUUGGAUCAUCAACUUUGUUGUAUUUAUUUUUUUAAUAUUUGUUAGAUAACAAAUGAGAGCUAGAAAAUAAGGUACAUUUUACUUUAAAGGAAAAAUAAGAAAAAUCAAAUUAUCUUCAUUUUAGGAAAUCAUUGGGGAAGAAAAUUAUUGAGUUAAAAUAAUUGUAACAGGCAAGAAUCAAACACAACCUCAAGAUUUUGUAGGAGCACAUCCACUACACACGAACUAGAAUUUAGUAAAAAUAAAGCAUUAUUUAAUAUAAUAUUGUAAUAUAACACUUCAAAAUUAAUAUUAAAAUCGAGAAUGUGAGGAGCACAUGCCCCCAACCCCUUAAUAAAUUCGACCCUAAGCAGCAUGAUAUCGUUGUCCAAAUGAGUUAGUUCAAUGUUGAUCAUCCUAAAGUUGGGAGGUUCGAUCUUCUAGUUCUACCAUAGCUAUAUUCAAAGAAGAAAAAACAAAAUAAUUGUAAGAGUUUUGAUGAGAAAAGCAAAAUAAAAUUUACCAUUACUGUCUCUUGAUUAGUUCCACAAUUUGUAGGGUUGUAAAAGAGAAACCAACUCAAUUAUAUGUUCGAGUUGGUAUAAGAUUUGAUUGCUUACACAAUAAUUGUAUCGUGUAUUGUUUAAAAGUAAUUUGAGAAAGCAAACAAACAUCUACAAAUAAAUUGGCUUAUUACUUCCAUGUUUCCUAUUAUUCACUCGAACUUUUAAGUAAAUAAGAUGUACAAUUAUUGAAUAAAAGAAGUGUGAAUUGAUCUUUUCAAUAAAUAAUGAUUGGUUUGGCAUUUAAAUCUUUCCAUUGUUUCUUUUUACCUCCCAAUUAAUUAUUUUGUUAUGCUUAGCUGUUUCACUAAUUAUCAUAUUGAACUUCUUAAAAUAAAACAAUUAUCAUAUAGAAUGAUUAAUAAUUCAGAAAAUGAAGAGAGAACUACAAGAAAUUAAUCAUUUCCAGAGUAAUGAAGUCGUCUGAAGAUGCACCAAAAAAAUGCAUAAGAAAGUGAACUCUCGAUGUCAUUUUGUUUGUCGAAAAUAUUGUUGAGAAAACCACGUCAGAAAAUGUCAUUCCUACCGGCGUUUCCAAUGGCGUGUCGUUGCGCAUCAGGAGUACCUUCGAAUGUUCAACGGGCAUGGUAAACCAGUGGACAAUAUUAACUCUCGAGGACAUAUUGCCGCGACGUGAUCGCUACGUGGAGUGGCCGACCUCUCCGUUUAUUUAAUUUUAGUAAAUAAAUAGUUUUUGAAUCGCCACCAACCAUAUUAGGGUAUGAUUGAUCACCAAGAAAAGGAAAAAAAAUGGUUUGCGUAAAUUCAUAAGAUUUAAGUUCGGAAGUCAAUUGUGUGUAGGGAAGGUGUUAGCACCCUACGACACCGUUAAAAUGGUUACCCAAUUUUAUCUUUUAAACUAAAUUAUAAAGCUUACGUAACAAAAUUUUUAUUUAGGUUUUAUUUAAAUGUCUCAAGUUUAUCAAUUCCCAUCAAAGAAAAUAAAACCCAACCAUGAAUCGAUAAUUAUGGGUGGCAUAGGAGUCAUUAGAAAAAUGAAGUUUGUUUUUGUUUUAAAAGAUUUUUAUUCACCUUAAGAAUAUUAAGAUACCAAAACUUGAUAUUUUAAUCUCCAUCAUAUGUGUUUAAUGAGAAAUUUCAUGUAUCUAGAAUUAAUAAAUUCAUAAAAAAUACUACUCAGUCUCAUUUAAAAUAUGAAAUGUGUUUAUUUAAAAACAAUCUAUUAAUUAAAUUUCAAACGGAAAAAUUUGAUGUAUUCAUAGAAUUUAAAUUAUAAAAUCCAUAAAAAACAAUACAUUAUUUCUUCAAAUUACAUUUUUAUAUUUCAAUUGGAAAUUGAAUAAUAACAAUGACAAAACAUUAUGAAAUUUGAAAAAUACUUGAAGUGUAAUAUGCUGAGAUAAAAUAAAUACAUAAAACAAAUACAUGAUAAUGUAAGCAAUAUGCAAAAUGUAUAAGAUGAUUAAUUAACGUAGAUGCAAGAUAAUUAAUUAAUGCACCACAUGCAAGAUAAUGAAUUAAUGCAGAAUGAUGCAAAAUAAUUAAUUAAUUCAAAAGAUGUAAAAUAAUUAAUUAAUGCAUAAGGGUGCAAAAUAAUUAAUUAAUGCAGAAACAUAAAUAAGCAAAAUAAUUAAUUAAUUCAGAAAUAGGCAGAAUAAUUAAUUAAUUCAGAAGUAUGUAAAAUAAUUAAUUAAUUCAAAAAUAUGCAAAAUAAUUAAUCAGCCAGACCAGAGUAAUGAAUAAUUAAACGAGGAUGUCAAAUGGGUAAAAUAAUAAUUAACUGCAAGUGUCAAAGUAGGUUUAAUGGUGCAAAUAAUUACCCUCCAAAAAUUAAAACUGUCAAAUACAUUGUGCUAAUUAAUUAACAAUGUAUAAUUAAGAGAGUAUGUCAAAUGAAUAAUUAUUAACGCAAGAUACCAAAUGGAUAAACACAAUUAAAACAGAAUGUAAAAUAGGUGCCUAGAUAAUUAAAAAGAUAGCAAAUAAUUAAAUCAAUUAACACAUAAUGUAAAAUGGGUGCCUAGAUAAUUAAAAAGAUAACAAAUAAUUAAAUGAGUAUGCCAAAUAGGUGUCAAAUGAGUGCUAAAUAAUUAAGACAACAAUCAAAUAAUUAACACAUCAUUUAAUUAAUUAACCAAAUGAAAUAAUUAAAAUAGCACUCAAAUAGAUGCCAAAUAAUUAAUCCAGAACACACUAUUAAUCAAGUGUGUAGCCAAAUGGAUGCCAAAUAAUUAAACACAUGCAAAACAACUGAUUAAUCAGUCCACCAAUCAAAUAGUCCAAUGGGUGUCAAAUUAAUUUAAAAAAUUAAAAACGUCAAAUAUGACAGGUGCUAAUUAAUUAUAGGCCAAAUGGAAAAUGGAUAUUGCCAAAUACAGGAUGCUAAUUAAUUAAUCAUGAAGUAAUUUAUACAAAAGAAUGAAUGUGAGAUGAGUGUCAAAUAAUUAAAAGAGAUCAAAUGGGUGCCAAAAGAUUAAAAUUAUGCAAAUAAUUAAAAGAUGUCAUAUGCGUGCCAAAUGAUUAACACAGCAGCUAAUUAAUGACUAAAUUAAAUGAAUAAUUAAGACAGUAUCAUCAAGCAUGAAUAAAAAAGAACUUACAGGUAUGCCUUAAAUGAAAAAUGUUCUGUGUUAUCCUCUUCAAUCCUUCCCAACAAAAUUUCUUUUACUUUUCCCUUUUCUCUAUCAAAUAAUCUUCCUAGCAAAAAAUCCUCCCCUAAAUUGAAUCUUCUUUUUCUCUUUUUAUAGGGCAAGAUCUGAAGUAGAGUAGUUUUUAGUAGUGAAGUGGAGUGGAUGAGAGAAGGGGAAGAAGGUGGAAGAGUGGGAGAAUGUGAGAGGUUGGGAGAAAGUGAAACCUCGUGACCAAGAAUGUGAGAGAAUAGGAAGAAGGGGAUGGUUGAGAAAAAUAAGGAGAAGGGAAAAAAUCUUUACUUCUAAUUUUAAUUUUAAAUAUGUUUUUAUUUUUAUUUUGUUUUAAAACAUAAAUUUAAAAAUUAAGAUUUGAAAUUUAAAAUUUAAAUUCAAAUUCAAAUUCUUUUAAAAAAAUAAAAAUAAAAAAGCAGGACAAAAUAUGGUAUCUACACAUAUAAACCCCAUCAGGAUGUCUGAGUUUCCAAUGAUUUUGUCACGAGUAGUUUCUUUAGCUCAUUUUGUAAAUAUUAUUUUUUUUAUUAUUUUUUUAUAGUUGCAUAAGUAGUUUUUUUCAAAAUUUUAUCUGAAAUUUAAAAGAAUAAUAUCAAACCAAACAAUAUAUAUUAAAUAACGAAAUUUGGAACAUAGUAGUCAAUGUCUACAAAAUUAGAAUGUAUUUUGGAACCGAAAUUAUAACAAGGUUUACGUAAUGAUCUAUAAAAUGCUUUUGAAUUAAUAAAUACAUAGAAAAAAGAUGUCAUCUUCAAAACCCAUCUCCAUAUGUCAUCUUCGAACAACUCCUUACCGACAAUCACAUCAAGUAAAAUACAUUGUUUCACAAUUCAAAAAAUCCAAAAUUCUAAUAAAAAAGUUCCAUAGAAUUAACCAUAUUCUAACUUUUCAAAAUAAGUUAAAGUUAAGCAAUAAGUAGUUAAGCAAAACAAUUCACUCCUAAAAAAACAAGUUAAGCAAACACAUUUCACCCUUUAACAAAUAAAAUCAAGCAUAAAAUAAACAACUCACCUCAUCAACGCAACUUGUAAAACAAAAUCAUUCAUCUAUAAACAAUCCACGUCUCAUCACAAUAAGUUAAGCAAAGAGUUCACCCACUCUUCAACAGAAUAAAGUAAGGAAAAAAGUUCACUCACCCCCUCAACAUAACAAUGUUAAGAAAAGUUCAAUCAUCCCUCAACACAACAAUGUUAAAAAAAAUUCACCCACCUAUAAACAAAAACAUAUUAAUCAUACAACUCACCCUCAACACAACAAUUAAGAAAGGUUCACUCACCCCUAAACAACAACACAUUAAGCAAUUAAACAAUUCACCUCUCAGCACACCCCUCAACAAAACAUAUUAAUCAUACAACCCAUCCUUCAACACAACAUAUUAAGCAAAAUCAUUCAUCCAACUAAAAGCUACCAUACGACAAGAAUGGUAGUUGGAGUUAAUGUGACUUGACAAAGCUGCAAACGACGCUAACAUGUUCAGAAAAAUAGAAGUUUUCCACCAAAAGCUGCCUAUCAAAGGACUCCGUCCCUACAAAGUAAAGAGGCCAGCUUUGGGAGAAGUUAGAUGUCUGAAUGGAUCGACCAAGGGCCUGAAUGGGCCAAACCCUAAAGAAUGGUAGAAAGGAGUAACAUUUAUGUUGUCUGUAAAAGUUAUUAUUCUUUUUCUUCUAUCAGUCUGUAAAUGAGAGCUUGGGUUUAGGGUCGGAAUAAAGAAUAAUUCAUCUCCCAUUUUCUCAUAACUUGUAAUGUUCAUUUGUUUACUCUCCAUUUUUAAUAUUCUUUGUAAUGUAUAUGUUCAUAUUGUAUAGCGACCUAAGGCCGACAUUCUUUAAUAUAUUACAUGUUUAUACUUUUGUAAUCAAUCAUUCCUUUAUUGUUCACCUAUCAAUGUGUUAUUUAUCGUUUAGGUCUAUGAUAAGUUUCUGAUAAAAAGAUAAGCUUAUAAAGCUUAUGGUGUUAGUUGAGUUAUAGUAUCACUUGGUCAGUGUAUAUCGAUAACUACUCGAGAGAGCAAGUAGCAACGAUAUGACUAACGGACGCAAGGAAGAGUUUGGAAACAAACUCCACCUUAGCUAUAGUUUGUGGCAAGCAUCAUACCAGUGUUUAUUUUUCAUUGUUUUGCAUGAGACUGUGUCCUUUUAUUAUGUUGCAUGUAACCAUGUCCUCAAAUUAUAAAUUUACCAUUAGUGGCAUGUAAAGGUUAAGUGAGUACAUAUAUACACAUUCAUAUAUUUGUAUACGUGAGACAUAUAUAUAUGUAUAUACACGAGACAUACAUAUAAUGUCUUUUUUAAGUUUUAAACCUAUACUAUUCAUAUUCAUUUUUUCUUCUUUCGAGUUCAAUUACUACACAGAAGAUCAAAGGUGAAGAGGGUUUUUGGUUCUUAUUUAUUGAGCUAUAAAAAAAUUAACAUAAUUAUUUUAUACUUAGAAAGUAUCAAAUUAAAUAAGUAAUGGUAAAGAAAAUUAUAUAGUUUUUCACUAUUUAAAACAACUUUUAAAAUUACAUAAUAGUUGGUGUUGUUAUUAUUGUUUAUAUAAAGUUGACGUUUUACCC
RNAcentral lists this long non-coding RNA (10970 nucleotides) under Cucumis sativus (cucumber). RNAcentral's name for it is "long non-coding RNA (CSAT_LNC000611)". Lineage: Eukaryota; Viridiplantae; Streptophyta; Magnoliopsida; Cucurbitales; Cucurbitaceae. The record is from RNAcentral.